GUCUACGGCCAUACCACCCGGAAAGGCCCGACCUCGUCUGAUCUGGGAAGCUAAAUAGGGUCGGGCCCGGUUAGUACGUGGAUGGGAGACCGCCUGGGAAUACCGGGUGCUGUAGGCU
RNAcentral lists this ribosomal RNA (118 nucleotides) under Erinaceus europaeus (western European hedgehog). Lineage: Eukaryota; Metazoa; Chordata; Mammalia; Eulipotyphla; Erinaceidae. The record is from RNAcentral.